Orbicella faveolata is the source of this 744-nucleotide long non-coding RNA. The record is from RefSeq and is a predicted model, not a curated record. Lineage: Eukaryota; Metazoa; Cnidaria; Anthozoa; Scleractinia; Merulinidae.
AUAAUAGUUGACUUUUACUGAAAAAAUGAGGCUAAUCGGUGAAGGUCCAAAAUUUGCCUUACCCGUUCUUACGCGGACAGCCUCUUACAUGCAAUAUGUGUUUCUUUGUGUCCUUGUCAGUUCUUUAAACAUGCAAGCCAAAUAUUUUAAAGCAUGGAGAGGCUUGUAUACGCGUUGCUUUGUAGCGGUGUACAUUGCUAUAGGAGCGUAUUUUAGGUUUAAUUGCAUUUGGUCCAUAUUACUUACAAAACUAUGGCGGUGUAGGGGUUUUGUGCAGUUCAUGGAUACAGUUUGUACUCGUUACAUGACAUUGUAUUCACCCCGAGGGUAUGGGUCCUAGCCAUUAUUCCAACAUGGCGCCGAACUUUUCUUCGGGAGUUGUGGACCUUUAUGCCGCUUGCGUGGUAGUUAUGGACGUUUUGUGGGAACCAGGAAGCUAAAUUAAAGUACACUGCAGAAAUGUCAUUCCAUUCUGAAUCCACCUACGUCUGUACCUGCAUGUGUUAGGAGAGAUUCUGGUAGUAAAGACGUGGAACAGCAAAAUGGCUUAAUUUCAAAGUCGUGCAGUAGAUAAUGAAGCAAGUACUGACCAGAGUCUUCUUGGGCCUGACCUGUGGCAUUGCUAUAACUUGAACUUAACAGGCAGGUUGUUAGAGACAUAGAUCACAGGAUCAAGGACUGGGGACCCAGGACAGAGGACCCAGGACAGAGGACCCAGGACAGAGGACCCAGGACAGAGGACCC